This is a long non-coding RNA of Quercus robur (English oak), 279 nucleotides long. RefSeq lists it as uncharacterized. NCBI's taxonomy places the organism in Eukaryota, Viridiplantae, Streptophyta, Magnoliopsida, Fagales, Fagaceae. The transcript has 2 exons. The record is from RefSeq and is a predicted model, not a curated record.
ACUGCUGUCGUUACAGGUCUUUUUCUUUUUUAUUUUUUUUAUUUCCUGGGUGUUCUUUGAUUUGCCUUUAUUCUAAUUCAGGAAUUUGCAGUUUCAGAUUAUUGUAAAUCUCAUUCUGGAAUCAGGAGAGUGUGUGUGUGUGUUGGGGUUGGGAAUAAAUGGAUGAAAGACUUUUUUUUAUUUUGUAGAUGCUGAUGUUGUUCUUUCAUUGGUAUCAGCUAAUUAUGUAAUGGUUUUUCAGUUAUUUAUAAAAAAGCACGGUUAAGCGCUUAUUUGAAA